Molecule: ribosomal RNA, 511 nt
Filed under: uncultured Veillonella sp.
Lineage: Bacteria; Bacillati; Bacillota; Negativicutes; Veillonellales; Veillonellaceae
Description: bacterial SSU rRNA
Rfam family: Bacterial small subunit ribosomal RNA
Source: RNAcentral
GACGAACGCUGGUGGCGUGCUUAACACAUGCAAGUCGAACGAAGAGCGAUGGAAGCUUGCUUCUAUCAAUCUUAGUGGCGAACGGGUGAGUAACGCGUAAUCAACCUGCCCUUCAGAGGGGGACAACAGUUGGAAACGACUGAUAAUACCGCAUACGAUCUAAUCUCGGCAUCGAGGAUAGAUGAAAGGUGGCCUCUACAUGUAAGCUAUCACUGAAGGAGGGGAUUGCGUCUGAUUAGCUAGUCGGAGGGGUAACGGCCCACCAAGGCGAUGAUCAGUAGCCGGUCUGAGAGGAUGAACGGCCACAUUGGGACUGAGACACGGCCCAGACUCCUACGGGAGGCAGCAGUGGGGAACCUUCCGCAAUGGACGAAAGUCUGACGGAGCAACGCCGCGUGAGUGAUGACGGCCUUCGGGUUGUAAAGCUCUGUUAAUCGGGACGAAAGGCCUUCUUGCGAAUAGUGAGAAGGAUUGACGGUACCGGAAUAGAAAGCCACGGCUAACUACGUGC